RNAcentral lists this ribosomal RNA (424 nucleotides) under uncultured bacterium. RNAcentral's name for it is "partial 16S ribosomal RNA". It matches the Rfam family "Bacterial small subunit ribosomal RNA", at positions 360 to 776 of the family's 1533-position model. The record is from RNAcentral.
AAUUUUGGACAAUGGGGGAAACCCUGAUCCAGCCAUCCCGCGUGUAUGAUGAAGGCCNNNGGGUUNUAAAGUACCUUUGGCAGNGAANAAAAGGUAUCCCCUAAUACGGGAUACUGCUGACGGUAUCUGCAGAAUAAGCACCGGCUAACUACGUGCCAGCAGCCGCGGUAAUACGUAGGGUGCAAGCGUUAAUCGGAAUUACUGGGCGUAAAGCGUGUGUAGGCGGUUCGGAAAGAAAGAUGUGAAAUCCCAGGGCUCAACCUUGGAACUGCAUUUUUAACUACCGAACUAGAGUAUGUCAGAAGGGGGUAGAAUUCCGCGUGUAGCAGUGAAAUGCGUAGAUAUGCGGAGGAAUACCGAUGGCGAAGGCAGCCCCCUGGGAUAAUACUGACGCUCAUGCACGAAAGCGUGGGUAGCAAACAGG